GACGAACGCUGGCGGCGUGCCUAAUACAUGCAAGUCGAACGAACUCUGGUAUUGAUUGGUGCUUGCAUCAUGAUUUACAUUUGAGUGAGUGGCGAACUGGUGAGUAACACGUGGGAAACCUGCCCAGAAGCGGGGGAUAACACCUGGAAACAGAUGCUAAUACCGCAUAACAACUUGGACCGCAUGGUCCGAGUUUGAAAGAUGGCUUCGGCUAUCACUUUUGGAUGGUCCCGCGGCGUAUUAGCUAGAUGGUGGGGUAACGGCUCACCAUGGCAAUGAUACGUAGCCGACCUGAGAGGGUAAUCGGCCACAUUGGGACUGAGACACGGCCCAAACUCCUACGGGAGGCAGCAGUAGGGAAUCUUCCACAAUGGACGAAAGUCUGAUGGAGCAACGCCGCGUGAGUGAAGAAGGGUUUCGGCUCGUAAAACUCUGUUGUUAAAGAAGAACAUAUCUGAGAGUAACUGUUCAGGUAUUGACGGUAUUUAACCAGAAAGCCACGGCUAACUACGUGCCAGCAGCCGCGGUAAUACGUAGGUGGCAAGCGUUGUCCGGAUUUAUUGGGCGUAAAGCGAGCGCAGGCGGUUUUUUAAGUCUGAUGUGAAAGCCUUCGGCUCAACCGAAGAAGUGCAUCGGAAACUGGGAAACUUGAGUGCAGAAGAGGACAGUGGAACUCCAUGUGUAGCGGUGAAAUGCGUAGAUAUAUGGAAGAACACCAGUGGCGAAGGCGGCUGUCUGGUCUGUAACUGACGCUGAGGCUCGAAGUAUGGGUAGCAAACAGGAUUAGAUACCCUGGUAGUCCAUACCGUAAACGAUGAAUGCUAAGUGUUGGAGGGUUUCCGCCCUUCAGUGCUGCAGCUAACGCAUUAAGCAUUCCGCCUGGGGAGUACGGCCGCAAGGCUGAAACUCAAAGGAAUUGACGGGGGCCCGCACAAGCGGUGGAGCAUGUGGUUUAAUUCGAAGCUACGCGAAGAACCUUACCAGGUCUUGACAUACUAUGCAAAUCUAAGAGAUUAGACGUUCCCUUCGGGGACAUGGAUACAGGUGGUGCAUGGUUGUCGUCAGCUCGUGUCGUGAGAUGUUGGGUUAAGUCCCGCAACGAGCGCAACCCUUAUUAUCAGUUGCCAGCAUUAAGUUGGGCACUCUGGUGAGACUGCCGGUGACAAACCGGAGGAAGGUGGGGAUGACGUCAAAUCAUCAUGCCCCUUAUGACCUGGGCUACACACGUGCUACAAUGGAUGGUACAACGAGUUGCGAACUCGCGAGAGUAAGCUAAUCUCUUAAAGCCAUUCUCAGUUCGGAUUGUAGGCUGCAACUCGCCUACAUGAAGUCGGAAUCGCUAGUAAUCGCGGAUCAGCAUGCCGCGGUGAAUACGUUCCCGGGCCUUGUACACACCGCCCGUCACACCAUGAGAGUUUGUAACACCCAAAGUCGGUGGGGUAACCUUUUAGGAACCAGCCGCCUAAGGUGGGACAGAUGAUUAGGGUG
RNAcentral lists this ribosomal RNA (1488 nucleotides) under Lactiplantibacillus plantarum. RNAcentral describes it as "bacterial SSU rRNA". It matches the Rfam family "Bacterial small subunit ribosomal RNA". Lineage: Bacteria; Bacillati; Bacillota; Bacilli; Lactobacillales; Lactobacillaceae. The record is from RNAcentral.